This 253-nucleotide ribosomal RNA is filed under the name uncultured bacterium. RNAcentral's name for it is "partial 16S ribosomal RNA". It matches the Rfam family "Bacterial small subunit ribosomal RNA", at positions 524 to 776 of the family's 1533-position model. The record is from RNAcentral.
UACGUAGGGUGCGAGCGUUAAUCGGAAUUACUGGGCGUAAAGCGUGCGUAGGCGGUUCGCUGUGUCCGAUGUGAAAGCCCCGGGCUUAACCUGGGAAUGGCAUUGGAAACUGGCGGGCUUGAGUGUGGCAGAGGGGGGUGGAAUUCCGCGUGUAGCAGUGAAAUGCGUAGAUAUUCGCAAGAACACCAGUGGCGAAGGCGGCUCACUGGCCCGGUACUGACGCUGAGGUGCGAAAGCGUGGGGAGCAAACAGG